UAUCACCUUUUAUCAAUGAUAGUUCAUGUUUCCAUGGCUUAGACCCUCGAACUUGCCAGUACAUACCAUUCAGUAAGUUAAUGUUACUGUAAUAGAAGACAUGUAAAACUUGGGUUCACGCUUAUUACCAAUUUCUUGAUGCUUUAUGAUCAAAUUCUUGAGCUUUUGUAGAUCUGGACGUGUCAAUUUUAAAGUGCGUCAAAACGAGUCUGGUUAAGGCUCGAAUGAAGGUAGAUUUAAGCUUCUAUUCAAGCUUGUUGGCUCAAGGUGAGCCGUGGAGUUAACAACCGUGGUUCUGUCAUAGAAUGGAAUGGAAGAUGGUUGGAUGAGGUUAAGAUUGUUCUUGCAGACCUAAGCCCAUGAUUUGACAAAGGAAGUUGAACUGUUGCCACCUACAACAACAUGGUGAGUAGUUAUUCCAAUGGAGAAACCUUCAUUUGGGAAAAUGGUGAGUUGGAGAGCCCUGGCAGAAACACGAUCACCAGCCAUAGAUAACGUUGGUACAAGACGAUGAUAGUUGGCUUCUAGACGAAAGCCGCCACCAGUGAGGUAGAGAAAGUCGAGGUCAGAUGACUCAGCAACGGUAAGGGAAACGGUGUCGCCUUUCGAGAAACUGGAUGAUAGGCUUGUGGGAGAGUUGGGGCCAAAUAAGGUUGCCAGCAAGCGGAAGGUAGUGAGUGAUCGUGAGUAUGAGAGGAAGUGAGUGUUUGAAGUUUGGCAGAACAUUAAUAAUAUUAAUUGAGUUCUGGUAGAAGUAAAGGUGAGAGGUGGCCGGAGGAUAUGGAAGGAUAAUUAUAUCAAAGAAUGUGAAAGGAAGAAGCUUAGAUGCAUUUGGAGAAGGUAAAUGAGCAACUCUACAAAUCUCAACUAUUUUGACAUACUCAUCGUCCUUAUCCAUUGGGAGGAACUCAAUUCCUUUUCCCCUAAAAGAAAGUAAUUAAGAGAAUGAUAGGCGUUCGAGAAAUCAAAUAGACAAGCAAUAACAAUAGCUAUAAUAAUAAAUAGAGGAAGCAAUUAUUGGAGGAUAUGCAUGUAAUUGAUAUUGAAUAUAUGGGUCGUUUAAGUUGUUUAGGAGUUCUUUUGGUGGAUACAAAUACCUUUUCUUUUGAGUCAUGUAUGUUUUAUGUCUUUCUGUUUCGUUGGUUUUGUCAUUUUUUUUCUCUUAUUUUGUGGUAUUUUCUUUGUACCUUGACCUAAAGUUGCGAGUUCGCCCUCAUCCUUCUUACCAAUCCAAUUCUAUUAUUUUUGCUAGUGUAUACUGCAACUAACCUAGUUUGCUUUUGUAUACAUCAGUAUUUGUAUUUGGUAAUUGGUAUGGUUUGACCGCAUGUAUAUUUCAAUUAGAAGGCUAAGGGGGCUUCACAAAAUGUCUCCUAUUUGGGCCUAGAAUUGUUUGUUGGAUCCACCAAACAGAUUCUCCAGGCCUUAGUCCAAGAUUGAUGAGCUGGAAGCAGAAAUUUGGCAUCAAAGUUAGUUAUUUGAAGCCUUAUAUAAGAAUUCAUCAGCGUUAACACACGAAAAAAGGGCAAGAGUGAGUGAAUAGAAGAGAUUUCGUUUUAAGAGCAUCUUUUGCUGGGUUUUCGUCUUGUGUGAUCAUUCCGAUAUGAGCAUCUUAAAUCAACAAAUUAGUAUUAGAGUUUCAUAUUUGGGAGUCUGAGUUUGUUGUGCGAAGUACUCAUGGCUGCCAAGUUUGAGAUGAGAGGUUUGAUGGCAAAGAAGAUUUUUCCCUUUGGAAGAAGAAGAUCAAGGCUCUGCUUGUGCAAUUGAAGAAAGCAAAAGCCAUUGAUGAUUCCGUUACUCCCUUCAGCAACAUUAACAGCUAAAGGAAUCAAAGAGAUGAAAGAGAUAGCCUUCGGCACGAUUAUUUUGUAUCUUGCAGAAAAUGUGUUGAGACAUAUUCCAGAGGCUAAGACAGCAGAGAAGAGGUAUGAGCUGAGUUAGAUGUCAUAUAUAUCUCACUGAAUCUCUUGCUAAUAAGCUUUAUAUUAAGGAAAGAUUCUUUUGAUUUAAGAUGGAUGCAAAUAAAGAGGUAGAACAUAAUCUAGAUGAUUUCAACCGUAUAUUAAUUUAUCCAAGUAAUAGAGAAGAGAAGAUGUCCGAUGAAAACAAA
Long non-coding RNA from Cucumis melo (muskmelon), 2110 nucleotides. RefSeq lists it as uncharacterized. The transcript has 2 exons. The record is from RefSeq and is a predicted model, not a curated record. Lineage: Eukaryota; Viridiplantae; Streptophyta; Magnoliopsida; Cucurbitales; Cucurbitaceae.